UACGGGGGGGGCAAGCGUUGUUCGGAAUUGCUGGGCGUAAAGGGCUCGUAGGUGGCCAACUAAGUCAGACGUGAAAUCCCUCGGCUUAACCGGGGAACUGCGUCUGAUACUGGAUGGCUUGAGUUUGGGAGGGGGAUGCGGAAUUCCAGGUGUAGCGGUGAAAUGCGUAGAUAUCUGGAGGAACACCGGUGGCGAAGGCGGCAUCCUGGACCAACACUGACACUGAGGAGCGAAAGCCAGGGGAGCAAACGGG
Molecule: ribosomal RNA, 253 nt
Filed under: uncultured bacterium
Lineage: Bacteria
Description: partial 16S ribosomal RNA
Rfam family: Bacterial small subunit ribosomal RNA
Source: RNAcentral